AGCGAACGCUGGCGGCAGGCCUAACACAUGCAAGUCGAACGAAGUAUUCGGACUUAGUGGCGGACGGGUGAGUAACACGUGGGGACGUACCUAUUGGUUCGGAAUAACGGAGGGGAACUUCAGCUAAUACCGGCUAAGCUCUUCGGAGGAAAGAUUUAUCGCGAUCAGAGCGGCCCGCGUUGGAUUAGGUAGUGGGGGUGGUAAAGGCGAACCAAGCCUACGACCCAUAGCUGGUCUGUGAGGAUGAUCAGCCACACUGGGACUGAGAAACGGCCCAGACUCCUACGGGAGGCAGCAGUGGGGAAUCUUGCGAAAUGAUCGAAAGACUGACGCAGCCAUGCCGCGUGAAUGAUGAAGGUCUUAGGAUUGUAAAAUUCUUUUAGCAGGGACGAUAAUGACGGUACCUGCAGAAAAAGCCCCGGCUAACUUCGUGCCAGCAGCCGCCGUAA
This 449-nucleotide ribosomal RNA is filed under the name uncultured bacterium. Its description in RNAcentral is "partial 16S ribosomal RNA". It matches the Rfam family "Bacterial small subunit ribosomal RNA", at positions 29 to 523 of the family's 1533-position model. The record is from RNAcentral.